UACAGAGGGUGCGAGCGUUAAUCGGAAUUACUGGGCGUAAAGCGCACGUAGGUGGCCUGUUAAGUCGAACGUGAAAUCCCCGGGCUCAACCCGGGAACUGCGUCCGAGACUGGCAGGCUCGAAUCCGGGAGAGGGAUGUGGAAUUCCAGGUGUAGCGGUGAAAUGCGUAGAUAUCUGGAGGAACACCGGUGGCGAAGGCGGCAUCCUGGACCGGUAUUGACGCUGAGGCGCGAAAGCCAGGGGAGCAAACGGG
RNAcentral lists this ribosomal RNA (253 nucleotides) under uncultured bacterium. Its description in RNAcentral is "partial 16S ribosomal RNA". It matches the Rfam family "Bacterial small subunit ribosomal RNA", at positions 524 to 776 of the family's 1533-position model. The record is from RNAcentral.